This 456-nucleotide ribosomal RNA is filed under the name uncultured bacterium. RNAcentral's name for it is "bacterial SSU rRNA". It matches the Rfam family "Bacterial small subunit ribosomal RNA", at positions 313 to 786 of the family's 1533-position model. The record is from RNAcentral.
UUGGGACUGAGACACGGCCCAAACUCCUACGGGAGGCAGCAGUGGGGAAUAUUGCACAAUGGGGGAAACCCUGAUGCAGCAACGCCGCGUGAGUGAAGAAGUAUUUCGGUAUGUAAAGCUCUAUCAGCAGGAAAGAAAAUGACGGUACCUGACUAAGAAGCCCCGGCUAACUACGUGCCAGCAGCCGCGGUAAUACGUAGGGGGCAAGCGUUAUCCGGAUUUACUGGGUGUAAAGGGAGCGUAGACGGUUUUGCAAGUCUGAAGUGAAAGCCCGGGGCUUAACCCCGGGACUGCUUUGGAAACUGUAGAACUAGAGUGCAGGAGAGGUAAGUGGAAUUCCUAGUGUAGCGGUGAAAUGCGUAGAUAUUAGGAGGAACACCAGUGGCGAAGGCGGCUUACUGGACUGUAACUGACGUUGAGGCUCGAAAGCGUGGGGAGCAAACAGGAUUAGAUACC